CGGUUAUAGUUUUCAUGGAUAGAGACAAACAAAACGUAAAAAAAAUAAAAAAUUAAAAACAACAUUAAAAAUAUUUAUAUUUGAACAUAUUGUUAAAAAGUAGAAAAAUUUAUUCGAAGAAAAUGUUAAAAAAAUAUAAACUGGUAAAACUUAAAAAAAAAAAAAACAUUAAAAGUUUUACAACGGAUUAGCAACAGAUAGCGAUAAAUUUGCAACAAUUGUAAGGGAUUAAUGACAAACUAGCAACUGAUUAGAGAUGCAUUAGUGAUGGAUUGACGCCAAAUUAAAAUUUCAUUCUUCUUCAUGAUGUGAGUCCUAUGGGAUCGCAGACCUGACACCUCUUUCGGACCGGCCUAUGAUUUAUGCAGGAUGGGUUCCAUGUUGUUUAGAUUAUUAAAUGUUUUCCGGGGCACUGUAAUUCUUGUUUAAUCAAUUAAAUUGUAUGUUUAUCAAAAUGGUUUAUCUUCGUCAAACAUGUUUCACGACUCCAUUUGACCCUUUUAUAUUGGGAUGAGACUGGAAUGUCCAACGUUGGAGUAAACGUGGACCACAGGCGACACAAUAAUUCUUGUUGAUAAAACGACCAAUUACAUGAUGAGGACCCACUUAUUUGUUUUCCAUAAUGAGGACACAUUUUAUAUUAAAUUUAUUGUUUUUUCAGAUAUUCAGAUUACUAAUAGGAUCACUUUGGCGGCUCAUUCUUCCACGAUUUUGAUGCAUCCACCAGAAUUAAUAGUGGAAUGAAAUAAAUUUAUAGUGUAUUUUAAUUAAGAAAAUUUGUAAAUAAAUUCAUAAAGUUUAGCUUUAUUAACGUAAAAAUCAUUUUUUUAAUUAAGUCCAAAAAACCGAAAAAUAUAACAAAAUAAUUUUUAUAUCCGGCUAAUACCAGUUAUCAGGGUUAAAUUAUAAAUAAACAAUCAUUGAUAAUUUUUUUGUUAAUAUGGUUAAAGUGUAAGGACUUUUUUGAAUAUAUAUANUAACGAGUGCGAAUAAUUUCUUUCAGAAAUUAGUUUCUAGAAGUGAUUAGUUUUUUUGCACAAAUAAUUUAUUUUGCAGUUCAAAGUAGUUGAGAUAUGUUACUAUAUCUUGUAAUCUUGCACAUGAAUUAUUUUCAAGAUUAAGAAGAAUUUUAAAGUGAGUGUGAAUUGUUUUCUUUGGUGCGCAUUAGAAACAUGUUGAUUAUCUCUUUUGAUGAAUGAUUAUGUUUGAGAAACAUGUAAAUUACAAAAAACAAUUAGGGUUUUUCACUUAAAGUUUCGGGUUAAGCGUUCAAAAAACACUCUUUUUUUUUUAAAAAAAAUUAUGUGCUAUUAGUAUUUAUUGUGUAUGUGUGUGGGUGGGAGGGGGGGGNAAAGUUUUUUGUUUCGGUUAAAAAUAAAAAUAUAUAGCUGUUUUUGGUUAAUUAUAAAAGUUGGUUAUUGUUUUGGGUAGAAAAACAAACUAUGAUAUUAGAUAAAAAUAAUAUAAAAACUAUAAUCAACUUUUUAAAAUGAAAGACUCUAGUAAUAUAUUUAGUUGGCUAAAGAAUGAAAUUUACCGUAUUUUUCCAACCGAGAUAAAACUAUCAUUUUGAUUUUUUAUUUUGAUUUUUUAUUUUUUUGUUAUUUAUGUCCUGAAUGACUAUUUAGGUUAUUGUUUUUAUAAACGUUUUUUCCGUCAUAGUUUAAUAUUAUGACAUUUUUAGGUCAAUUACGAUUGUUUUUGAAAAAAAAUAAUAAACAUCUCAAUCAAUGACAACUCAAAAUAUUUUGUUAUUACUUAUUGACGCGGGAAAGAAAUAACAAAUUUUUGUUAUGGAAUACAACCAAAAAAUAGCAACAAAAAAAAGCAAUGAAACUACUUUGUCUAAUUUUCUUAAACACAAAAUAACUUAAUCCAUAAAUUUAUUUGUUUAUUUUGUUGUUGAUUAAAAGAAGAUGAUUGAGACCUCAAAUUCAUAAUUAAUAUUACAAUUAUAUACAGGAUUCAAGAAGUCUAAAAUAGAUUUAUAGUUAAAGCAUAUGUUGCUCUUUACUAUUUUGCUUGUAAGAAAAUUAGAAAUUUGACUUCCUGUAUAUAAUUGAAAGACUAUUAAGAUAAAGCAUAAGAAAUUUGAUUUUAUCAAGAACCAUAGAGAGUUUACAUAAUGGGACUUUGUUAGUAGAAAUGUUAAGGAUUACUCACUUGAGUUUUUGGAUAACUAAUAUGCAUUCACUGCAAUCCUAUUUUGAAUGAACAACAUCAGUUCCUUGAUAAAUGAAAAAUAAAUUACCAUAACAAAAACUUUUUAGUCUCUAACCUGCCUUCCUGGAUGGAAUGGAAUAUCAGGGUCUUCGGUUAAUUCAACAUCAACAACACCAAUCAAAAGGCGGAUGUGAUGAAAUCAAGAUCAAACGGUGAAAUUUCGGAACUUUUAUGACCAAAACAGAAAUGAUAACUGAGGUUAGAGCUUCUAAAUAAAGGUUAGAUGGUGUGGUUUUCAUGUAUGUUGUUCCAUGUGAUUUAACUAAUAAUGUCUAUUUAGAAUAAUCGACUAAAUCUCACAUAUGUUGCUCUUUAUUAUUCUUCUUUUUUCUUUAUAGUCGGAAGUGGAGGUGAAUAAUGUGUUGUUUAAUGGUGUGAUGGUGUUAGUAAUGAGUAACUACAUUUAUAAGUGUUCCAUUAAAGAUACCAACACCCAAACCUACAAUAGAUGAAAACAAAGCCCAUGACAAAACCAUUCUUGACAAAAAUGUUAGCAUGUUCCAGGAGAAAUGACAUACUCACAUGUUGUUGGCCAGUCAUACUCUCCAUCAGUUAGCAAUGUUGAGUGUAUGACAACCUGCAAAAUUGGCCAAUAGUGUUCUAGUAAGAACUGGUAAAUGCUUAUUUUGAUCCACAAGAUAAAAACAUAUUAAGUAAUAUGGGAUACGUUUAGAAAACAAUGGGAAACAUAAAUAACAAAUCCAAUGACUAAAUUUGAUUACUUGAAGUUACCACCAGCUCCACCUGAUUAACAUCUCCUUCAUGGAAAAACAAAAACAUCAUUUUCAAUUAGUCAAAAAUGAUGUAAUAAACUAUACAAAUUUCAGUAGAUAAUACAAUUUACCUUAAUGAAGUUCAGGAGAGAAAAAGUUUCUUAUCUUGUUGUGACUCCUCUUAUAGUGGAGCCCUGGGUUCAUUUUCCAAGAUUUGGAUAUGAAGAUGCUACAUAAGAUGAAAUAAUCAAUCUUCUCUUAAAAUUCAAAUUUGAGGAAAAAUUUCUUCCCCAAACCUAAUAAUUUGGAAGCAUGAACUGUGAUAUUAACCUUGGAAACAUAAAAAUUUCAACUUGUGAAUCAAAUGAACAAAAACAAAGGGUAUUCCAAAAGAAAAUAGAAUAAAUGAUUAAAGAACAAAAUGAAAAAAAUCAUACCAAUAUGGGUAUUCUUCAUGGCAACUAUUUGAAAAAGCCUACCAGAUUGUUCCAUUUUGGGAACACAGCCGUUCAAGUUUCCUUUUGCAAUCCGAAAUCGUUAUUUGUUUAUUUAAUAGCAUAAAUGAAUGAAAGACGUUACCUUUUAAUUAAGACUGAGAUCAUCAACAUCGUUAUUUGUUUAUUUAAUUGUGGUGGUGGCUCGUAGGUGUUAUUUUUUUACAGAUAGAGAUGGAGGAGCGUUGUCGCUGUCUCAAAACAUCCAUGGUCAGGGGAGCUCGGGGAGCCUUAAGCUAGGGUUCUUCAUGGAGAUUACAGUGAGAGAGAUGAAGCUAUGUCUUCGGCCAAUACAGAAAAUCGCAAAGUGCAAGAACGAAAAGUGAUAUAAAGCUUAAAAAAUAAAAUAACAAAAUAUAGUAACUAUUUAGGGAUAGAAAAAAUAAAUAACGUUAGGGCUCUUACCUGGUACUACCUGACAGGGGAGCGAUGUCGAUGUUUCAAUCACCACCUCUUCCAUCAACCUUUUGUUAAUAAGAACAACCUACAUGGAAUCAAUGAUGCACCAUCAAGGAGAGAGAGAGAGAGAGAGAGAGAGAGAGAGAGAGAGGGAGCACAAAGAAAUUGUAGAAUGUAAACACCUAAAUAGAUAAUUUUUUUAUAGGCGAUGGCUUUGACUGAGCGUGGGGAUGAGCCUAUUCAAAUUAUCGUGUAUUCCGGAAGAAGAGGGAUUUUUCAGAAAAAUAGGAGCGGAGAAGUUGCCCUUAUGUUGAAGUUGUUGGACGGGAUAUGGAAGGGAACUGGGUUAAAGCCAUAGUAACUUAAGGUUUAACAAAUAUGUUGAAUUGAGCAUCUCAUAAGCAAAACCAUUAGGCGAUAAAUUGGAGAUUUGUUUGACUUAGUUUUAAGUGAGAAUUCAAAUGAAAAAGAAAUGACGGAUUAGGAUA
RNAcentral lists this long non-coding RNA (4317 nucleotides) under Lactuca sativa (garden lettuce). RNAcentral describes it as "long non-coding RNA (LSAT_LNC003693)". The record is from RNAcentral. Lineage: Eukaryota; Viridiplantae; Streptophyta; Magnoliopsida; Asterales; Asteraceae.